CACGUGGGUAACCUACCUAUAAGGACUGGGAUAACUUCGGGAAACCGGAGCUAAUACCGGAUAACAUUUGGAACCGCAUGGUUCUAAAGUGAAAGAUGGUUUUGCUAUCACUUAUAGAUGGACCCGCGCCGUAUUAGCUAGUUGGUAAGGUAACAGCUUACCAAGGCCACAAUACAUAACCGACCUGAGAGGGUGAUCGGCCACACUGGAACUGAUACACGGUCCAGACUCCUACAGGAGGCAACAGUAGGGAAUCUUCCGCAAUGGGCGAAAGCCUGACGGAACAACGCCCCGUGAGUGAUGAAGGGUUUCGGAUCGUAAAACUCUGUUAUUAGGGAAGAACAAAUGUGUAAGUAACUGUGCGCAUCUUGACGGUACCUAAUCACAAAGCCACGGCUAACUACGUGCCAGCAGCCGCGGUAAUACGUAGGUGGCAAGCGUUAUCCGGAAUUAUUGGGCGUAAAGCGCGCGUAGGCGGUUUCUUAAGUCUGAUGUGAAAGCCCACGGCUCAACCGUGGAGGGUCAUUGGAAACUGGAAAAGUUGAGUGCAGAACAGGAAAGUGGAAUUCCAUGUGUAGCGGUGAAAUGCGCACAGAUAUGGGAGGAACACCAGUGGGCGAAGGCGACUUUCUGGGUCUGUAACUGACG
This 648-nucleotide ribosomal RNA is filed under the name Staphylococcus saprophyticus. Its description in RNAcentral is "bacterial SSU rRNA". It matches the Rfam family "Bacterial small subunit ribosomal RNA", at positions 114 to 745 of the family's 1533-position model. Lineage: Bacteria; Bacillati; Bacillota; Bacilli; Caryophanales; Staphylococcaceae. The record is from RNAcentral.